Molecule: long non-coding RNA, 1400 nt
Filed under: Vulpes vulpes (red fox)
Lineage: Eukaryota; Metazoa; Chordata; Mammalia; Carnivora; Canidae
Description: lncRNA (ENSVVUG00000005433.1)
Source: RNAcentral
AUCUAAUUUAUUUCUCACUUGGUUGUUGUCAUUAGUAAGAUCCUACAUAAAAAAGCAUUGAGAGUUUUAGGAGGCAUUUAGUAAUGUUAGCUCCUUUCUACUUGUACUGUAGUAAUGCAUUCUUUAGGAUCAAGUUCCCCCGACAGUGAGUUGUCUGAAAUGAAGAAAGCUAAAGUCAUUCCAACAUUCCAAGUCAUUAUGUAGGAAAGCCUCAGUGCCUGGAGAAGCUAGACCUGGCAGGUGGUAGAUGCUCACUAAAUGCACAUUUAUUAAUGAUUUUAUGGGAUUUUACUUCAUUGGGGAGAGGGGAACCCCUGUAGGUUGGCCUGUGAGACCUGUGAGUGAGUGGUCUCUUAGUUUGCCCAUUUGCAGAGUUGGCUUUGUCUGCUUAUUAUUCUCCCAAUUAUGAAGGAUUGGCGAGAUGAUCAAAUGUCAUUAGUAAAUUACAAAUAAGAGGUUGGUGCUUGUAGGGCUGUUAAGUCAGCCUGGCUGCUGAGAGCCAUUUAGUGUCUUGGAAUGGGCAAUUUGUUAAAUGACACAUAAGAAAGUUGAAAGAAUUAAUGUUCCUCUCCAAGGAGCAAUUUAUUCCUUUUUUUUUUUAAUUCAUUCAGCCUAAAUAUUUAUUCACAGCCUUGGGUUCCUUGUAAGAGAGAAGCUAUAAAAAACAAUAUGAUCAUCUUCUCUUUAUUUUCUUAUUUAGAGCCAUAAGACCCGAGGAAGAAGCAUAAUAGGCAGGAUGGAUAGUAGCACCCCUAGAGGAAUUCUGUGGGUAAUAGAAGCUGCCAAACUGAAUACAAGAAAUCACACAUGACACGUACAGCAUUGGGAAAAUAUUUGAAUCUGCAUAGAAGUUUGUCAGAUGCAUGAUGGCUAAACCUGCUAUACUUUUCCUAAUGAAGAUUGUUCCAGGCUUCAUGGAUGAAGAGCAAACAGGACAGAGUUCUGUUCAUCUUGGGCUUAUCCACAUGCCAAAUCCUGGCUUCCAGCCUUAUCCCUCUGUUCCAACUCCCUUAUUGUCUCCACUUUGGCAUCUUCUUAAUGAAUAGCUAUUUAAAAACCAACCAGAAAGGACACGCAAGUCUCGAAUCAAGGCAACUUGUUGAUGGAAGAAGACACACUAUCAGAAGAGGAGUGUCAAGGAGUAGAAUUGCUGAAGAUGGAACAUACAAAGCACCCAGAUGGAUUUGUGGUGGCUUGAGGACAAGGUUUCAGCAGGAGAUUAUACUAAUCACCGACUCGAUGGGCCUGUGAGCUUGAGUUCUACGUAGAUGGUGCCACAUAUUACCAAACACUGCUGGUGAUGAUGGAACGCCCUUUUCCUAUGAACAUAGAUAAUACAUUAACCAGUCGGCUAAGGCUAGGAAGCAUCACGAAUAGCAUGAAGACAUGCUCCUUUCAGG